GAUGAACGCUGGCGGCGUGCCUAACACAUGCAAGUCGAACGAAGCACUUUGGCUUGAUUCUUCGGAUGAAGGCUAUUGUGACUGAGUGGCGGACGGGUGAGUAACGCGUGGGUAACCUGCCUCAUACAGGGGGAUAACAGUUAGAAAUGACUGCUAAUACCGCAUAAGACCACGGAGUCGCAUGACUCAGUGGGAAAAACUCCGGUGGUAUGAGAUGGACUCGCGUCUGAUUAGGUAGUUGGUGGGGUAACGGCCUACCAAGCCGAGGAUCAGUAGCCGACCUGGGAGGGUAACCGGCCACAUUGGGACUGGGACACGGCCCAAACUCCUACGGGAGGCAGCAGUGGGGAAUAUUGCACAAUGGGGGAAACCCUGAUGCAGCGACGCCGCGUGAGCGAAGAAGUAUUUCGGUAUGUAAAGCUCUAUCAGCAGGGAAGAAAAUGACGGUACCUGACUAAGAAGCACCGGCUAAAUACGUGCCAGCCGCCGCCGUAA
Molecule: ribosomal RNA, 495 nt
Filed under: uncultured bacterium
Lineage: Bacteria
Description: partial 16S ribosomal RNA
Rfam family: Bacterial small subunit ribosomal RNA
Source: RNAcentral